UACGUAGGGGGCAAGCGUUGUCCGGAAUUACUGGGCGUAAAGCGCGUGUAGGCGGGGCGGCAAGUCUGGCGUGAAAGGCUCGGGCUCAACCCGAGAUGGCCGCUGGAAACUGCCGUUCUUGAGGGUCGAAGAGGAGAGUGGAAUUCCUGGUGUAGCGGUGAAAUGCGUAGAGAUCAGGAGGAACACCCAUGGCGAAGGCAGCUCUCUGGUCGACCUCUGACGCUGAGACGCGAAAGCGUGGGGAGCGAACGGG
This 253-nucleotide ribosomal RNA is filed under the name uncultured bacterium. RNAcentral's name for it is "partial 16S ribosomal RNA". It matches the Rfam family "Bacterial small subunit ribosomal RNA", at positions 524 to 776 of the family's 1533-position model. The record is from RNAcentral.